UACGUAGGGGGCAAGCGUUGUCCGGAAUCAUUGGGCGUAAAGAGCGCGUAGGCGGUCCGGUAAGUCCGCUGUGAAAGUCGAGGGCUCAACCCUCGAAUGCCGGUGGAUACUGCCGGGCUAGAGUCCGGAAGAGGCGAGUGGAAUUCCUGGUGUAGCGGUGAAAUGCGCAGAUAUCAGGAGGAACACCGAUGGCGAAGGCAGCUCGCUGGGACGGUACUGACGCUGAGGCGCGAAAGCGUGGGGAGCAAACAGG
Molecule: ribosomal RNA, 253 nt
Filed under: uncultured bacterium
Lineage: Bacteria
Description: partial 16S ribosomal RNA
Rfam family: Bacterial small subunit ribosomal RNA
Source: RNAcentral